RNAcentral lists this ribosomal RNA (492 nucleotides) under uncultured bacterium. RNAcentral's name for it is "partial 16S ribosomal RNA". It matches the Rfam family "Bacterial small subunit ribosomal RNA", at positions 29 to 507 of the family's 1533-position model. The record is from RNAcentral.
AGUGAACGCUGGCGGUAGGCCUAACACAUGCAAGUCGAACGGCAGCACAGUAAGAGCUUGCUCUUACGGGUGGCGAGUGGCGGACGAGUGAGGAAUACAUCGGAAUCUACUUUUUCGUGGGGGAUAACGUAGGGAAACUUACGCUAAUACCGCCUACUACCUCCGGGUGAAAGCAGGGGAUCUUCGGCCCUUGCGCGUGGGAAUGAGCCGUUGUCGGAUUAGCGAGUUGGCGGGGUAAAGGCCCGCCUUGGCGCGUAUCCGUAGCUGGUCUGAGAGCAUGAAGCGCGCCACUGGAACUGAGACACGGUCCAGACUCUUACGGGCGGCAGCAGUUGGGACUAGUGGACAAUGGGCGCAAGCCUGAUCCAGCCAUACCGGGUUGGUGAAGAAGGCCUUCGGGCUGUAAAGCCCUUUUGUGGGGGAAGAAAAGCAGCAGGUUAAUACCCCGUUGUUCUGACGGUACCCAAUGAAUAAGCACCGGCUAACUUCGUG